This 28-nucleotide small RNA is filed under the name Bombyx mori (domestic silkworm). RNAcentral describes it as "piRNA piR-bmo-1731488". Lineage: Eukaryota; Metazoa; Arthropoda; Insecta; Lepidoptera; Bombycidae. The record is from RNAcentral.
UACAAAGAUUAGCAGUCAGGUACAAUGU